Molecule: long non-coding RNA, 296 nt
Organism: Dufourea novaeangliae
Lineage: Eukaryota; Metazoa; Arthropoda; Insecta; Hymenoptera; Halictidae
Exons: 3
Source: RefSeq, a predicted model, not a curated record
UACUGCGCUUUGUUUAAUAACUUUUUCGUGUUGAGCACGCAUUCUGUCAGAAUCAACAAAUACAACAAUAUCGUUGUUGAUCUAAUGUGUAAUGUAGCAAAAUGUUUCUACCUCAAGUCAAAUGUAUCUUAAGGAAACGACUAUCCACUUAUUUUCUAAGUCAUCAUAGAAGUCAACUUUGUAAUACAUGCUUCAAAAGGAUCCAGGGGUAUACAAGUACAUUUUACUGUUCGAACUAUGGCCAUGAGAAAUCACAUAAUAAAAACGACAAUGUGGGAUUCGAUUACUUCAAAAAG